CUGGUAUAUAGGCACCUACAGCAACAUGUAGGUCCCCCUCACACUGCUCCCUGAUAUCCAAUGAUCAACAGAGUAUGCUGCGUCUGCAUGGGAAGGAAGUUUGUUCCCAUCUUGAGGGUAAUUGGUGUGAAGUCCUACCUUCUCAAAGAACACCAACUUUUUCAACAGGUUUGACAUAGUCUCCUGUAUUCAGCCAGUGGAAGUCUCUACUUAGAGUGAACUCCAUCCAUUGUCUGCUCCAAAAUGGUCUGGACUAUGCAGAAUCAACUCUCCACAACCACAAUCAAGUUUUAGCAGUGUCUUUUGAGAUCCAUUUGUCAUCUGUGUUGCACCAGCAGAAAAUCAUCUUUCUGGAUCAUAUUCAAGAUAAUAGUAUCAUGUUCUGCACACGGCUGGAAUCUGACUGGUACUGAGAAGAGUAGAGACGCUAAAUUGCAGCCACACUGUACUUGAAGGAGUUGUCCUUGUUUCAGUUUCAAGGGUCCUACUGUUAUGCACAGAUUUGGUUUUCCCUCAUCAUAUCACUGAAAAUGAUUUUCAGUAAAGAAAUAUGACCCCGAGACAAUUAAAAGAGGCAUUUAUAUCAAAGGAAAGAAUCCUAUAGCAGCCUGCUUAUUAAAUACAUAAUGCUUUGGUGGUUUUUCCUUUUGGAAUUUUUUAAUCAUGGGAAAAUUUCAUCUGAAGCAAACUGAAAAGUAUGAAGCAAAGAUUUGUAUAAUUUGUUCUCUGGGCUGCAUGCAGGUAUGAUGGUGUUGGGGCCACGUAUCUGUGCGAUGAAGAGGCUGAACCGCACUAACUGCUGUUAAUGGGAAAAAUAGGUGGCUAGACCCUCUCCCCGCAGUAAAUCCUCCCAUGGUUCUCUUUGGUGACAGCAAAGGUGACCACUGCUGCUUCUGUGGAGUGACGUAACAUAUGGCU
Molecule: long non-coding RNA, 918 nt
Organism: Apteryx rowi (Okarito brown kiwi)
Lineage: Eukaryota; Metazoa; Chordata; Aves; Apterygiformes; Apterygidae
Source: Ensembl